AGAGUUUGAUCCUGGCUCAGGACGAACGCUGGCGGCGUGCCUAACACAUGCAAGUCGAACGGACCCAGCCCGGUAGCAAUAUUGGGCGAAGGUUAGUGGCGAACGGGUGAGUAACGCGUGAGCAACCUGCCUUUCAGAGGGGGAUAACAGCUGGAAACAGUUGCUAAUACCGCAUAACGUAUUUAGGUGGCAUCAUUUGAAUACCAAAGGUUAAAUCCGCUGAGAGAUGGGCUCACGUCUGAUUAGCUAGAUGGUAGGGUAAGGGCCUACCAUGGCUGCGAUCAGUAGCCGGUCUGAGAGGAUGAACGGCCACAUUGGGACUGAGACACGGCCCAGACUCCUACGGGAGGCAGCAGUGGGGAAUAUUGGGCAAUGGGCGGAAGCCUGACCCAGCAACGCCGCGUGAAGGAAUAAGGCCUUCGGGUUGUAAACUUCUUUUAUUAGGGACGAAGGAUGUGACGGUACCUAAUGAAUAAGCCACGGCUAACUACGUGCCAGCAGCCGCGGUAAUACGUAGGUGGCAAGCGUUGUCCGGAUUUACUGGGUGUAAAGGGCGCGUAGGCGGGAAUGCAAGUCAGAUGUGAAAUCCAUGGGCUCAACCCAUGAACUGCAUUUGAAACUGUGUUUCUAGAGUGAUGGAGAGGCAGGCGGAAUUCCUAGUGUAGCGGUGAAAUGCGUAGAUAUUAGGAGGAACACCAGUGGCGAAGGCGGCCUGCUGGACAUCAACUGACGCUGAUGCGCGAAAGCGCGGGGAGCAAACAGGAUUAGAUACCCUGGUAGUCCGCGCCGUAAACGAUGAAUACUAGGUGUGGGGGGACUGACCCCUUCCGUGCCGGAGCAAACGCAAUAAGUAUUCCACCUGGGGACUACGGUCGCAAGACUAAAACUCAAAUGAAUUGACGG
This 903-nucleotide ribosomal RNA is filed under the name uncultured bacterium. Its description in RNAcentral is "bacterial SSU rRNA". It matches the Rfam family "Bacterial small subunit ribosomal RNA", at positions 8 to 916 of the family's 1533-position model. The record is from RNAcentral.